UACGGAGGGGGCUAGCGUUAUUCGGAAUUACUGGGCGUAAAGCGCACGUAGGCGGACUGAAAAGUCAGAGGUGAAAUCCCAGGGCUCAACCUUGGAACUGCCUUUGAAACUCUCAGUCUUGAGGUCGAGAGAGGUGAGUGGAAUUCCGAGUGUAGAGGUGAAAUUCGUAGAUAUUCGGAAGAACACCAGUGGCGAAGGCGGCUCACUGGACCGGCAUUGACGCUGAGGUGCGAAAGCGUGGGGAGCAGACAGGAUUAGAUA
This 261-nucleotide ribosomal RNA is filed under the name uncultured bacterium. Its description in RNAcentral is "partial 16S ribosomal RNA". It matches the Rfam family "Bacterial small subunit ribosomal RNA", at positions 524 to 784 of the family's 1533-position model. The record is from RNAcentral.